UCUAAUAUGGCAGAUUUAAUGCAUUGAAUUUAAACUUCAAGGAUAAAGAGUAAUCUUUUUUUAGAA
RNAcentral lists this transfer RNA (66 nucleotides) under Orius sauteri. RNAcentral describes it as "tRNA-Leu". The record is from RNAcentral. Lineage: Eukaryota; Metazoa; Arthropoda; Insecta; Hemiptera; Anthocoridae. RNAcentral also lists the same sequence under 1 other name.